GCGUGCCUAAUACAUGCAAGUCGAGCGGACUUGAAGAGAAGCUUGCUUCUCGGAUGGUUAGCGGCGGACGGGUGAGUAACACGUAGGCAACCUGCCUGUAAGAUCGGGAUAACUACCGGAAACGGUAGCUAAGACCGGAUAACCGGUAUCUCCGCAUGGAGAGGCUGUGAAACACGGAGCAAUCUGUGGCUUACGGAUGGGCCUGCGGCGCAUUAGCUAGUUGGUGAGGUAACGGCUCACCAAGGCGACGAUGCGUAGCCGACCUGAGAGGGUGAACGGCCACACUGGGACUGAGACACGGCCCAGACUCCUACGGGAGGCAGCAGUAGGGAAUCUUCCGCAAUGGACGAAAGUCUGACGGAGCAACGCCGCGUGAGUGAUGAAGGUUUUCGGAUCGUAAAGCUCUGUUGCCAGGGAAGAACGCCAAGGAGAGUAACUGCUCUUUGGGUGACGGUACCUGAGAAGAAAGCCCCGGCUAACUACGUGCCAGCAGCCGCGGUAAUACGUAGGGGGCAAGCGUUGUCCGGAAUUAUUGGGCGUAAAGCGCGCGCAGGCGGUUUUUUAAGUCUGGUGUUUAAUCCCGAGGCUCAACCUCGGUUCGCACCGGAAACUGGGAGACUGGAGUGCAGGAGAGGAAAGUGGAAUUCCACGUGUAGCGGUGAAAUGCGUAGAGAUGUGGAGGAACACCAGUGGCGAAGG
Molecule: ribosomal RNA, 699 nt
Filed under: Paenibacillus sp.
Lineage: Bacteria; Bacillati; Bacillota; Bacilli; Caryophanales; Paenibacillaceae
Description: bacterial SSU rRNA
Rfam family: Bacterial small subunit ribosomal RNA
Source: RNAcentral